GCUUUCGUGGUGUAGUGGUUAACACGCUCGACACGUAAGCGAGAGGUCUGUGGUUCGAUUCCCGGGGAAGGUG
Molecule: transfer RNA, 73 nt
Filed under: Stegodyphus mimosarum
Lineage: Eukaryota; Metazoa; Arthropoda; Arachnida; Araneae; Eresidae
Rfam family: tRNA
About the family: Transfer RNA (tRNA) molecules are approximately 80 nucleotides in length. Their secondary structure includes four short double-helical elements and three loops (D, anti-codon, and T loops).
Source: Rfam by way of RNAcentral